This 387-nucleotide unclassified non-coding RNA is filed under the name fungal sp. RNAcentral describes it as "partial internal transcribed spacer region". The stretch from base 1 to 46 matches the Rfam family "Eukaryotic small subunit ribosomal RNA", at positions 1786 to 1831 of the family's 1831-position model. Lineage: Eukaryota; Fungi. The record is from RNAcentral.
AAGUCGUAACAAGGUCUCCGUAGGUGAACCUGCGGAGGGAUCAUUAACACGUAUCCAACACGUUUCAAACCCAAACCGUGAACUUCUCUCCUCAUAGGAUAGCGUCGAUUAGCCACCCACCCGGGAGGAUUGGAGGAUUGUGGAGGUGGUGCCCUUUCGGGUAUCAUCUUCUGCCUUCUCUGAUGGCGAUCGUAGGGCUUCGAGCCCCAGCGUUAUUCUAUGGGCGUAUCUCAAAGCCACCCGGACCCUUUUAUACGUUUUAUAAUUUUUUUCAAUUUUUAUAAAACACCCCUUCUUAAUCUUCUACUGAUUCUUCUCUUUGAUUAGAAAUAAUCAAGAGAUCUUACGAAACACGUACAACUCUUAGCAACGGAUAUCUUGGUUCUC